This 292-nucleotide ribosomal RNA is filed under the name uncultured bacterium. Its description in RNAcentral is "partial 16S ribosomal RNA". The record is from RNAcentral.
GGACUACAGGGGUAUCUAAUCCUGUUUGCUCCCCACGCUUUCGCGCCUGAGCGUCAGCCGUCGGCCAGGGCACUGCCUUCGCCAUUGGUGUUCCUCCGGAUCUCUACGCAUUUCACCGCUCCACCCGGAAUUCCAUGCCCCUCUCCGACGCUCAAGCCCACCCGUCUUGGGGAACCUCGGCCAGUUAAGCUGGCCGCUUUCACCCCCAACGCGGCAGGCCGCCUGCGCGCCCUUUACGCCCAGUAACUCCGGACAACGCUCGCCUCCUACGUAUUACCGCGGCUGCUGGCAC